GCCCCUGUAGCUCAGCGGAUAGAGCGCAGCCCUGCGGAGGCUGAGACCUGGGUUCAAUUCCCGGCAGGGGUA
Molecule: transfer RNA, 72 nt
Filed under: Thermoflexales bacterium
Lineage: Bacteria; Bacillati; Chloroflexota; Thermoflexia; Thermoflexales
Description: tRNA-Arg
Rfam family: tRNA
About the family: Transfer RNA (tRNA) molecules are approximately 80 nucleotides in length.
Source: RNAcentral